RNAcentral lists this transfer RNA (81 nucleotides) under Arsenicicoccus piscis. Its description in RNAcentral is "tRNA-Gly". Lineage: Bacteria; Bacillati; Actinomycetota; Actinomycetes; Micrococcales; Intrasporangiaceae. The record is from RNAcentral.
CGCCCACCGGCGAGCUGGACGGUGCGGCCGGUGCCGUCGGUCAUGACGGACUGCAGCAGGUUCGACGUCUGGUCGGCGACC